RNAcentral lists this ribosomal RNA (497 nucleotides) under uncultured bacterium. RNAcentral's name for it is "partial 16S ribosomal RNA". It matches the Rfam family "Bacterial small subunit ribosomal RNA", at positions 28 to 507 of the family's 1533-position model. The record is from RNAcentral.
GAUGAACGCUGGCGGCGUGCCUAAUACAUGCAAGUCGAGCGAACGGACGAGAAGCUUGCUUUUCUGAUGUUAGCGGCGGACGGGUGAGUAACACGUGGAUAACCUACCUAUAAGACUGGGAUAACUUCGGGAAACCGGAGCUAAUACCGGAUAAUAUUUUGAACCGCAUGGUUCAAAAGUGAAAGACGGUCUUGCUGUCACUUAUAGAUGGAUCCGCGCUGCAUUAGCUAGUUGGUAAGGUAACGGCUUACCAAGGCAACGAUGCAUAGCCGACCUGAGAGGGUGAUCGGCCACACUGGAACUGAGACACGGUCCAGACUCCUACGGGAGGCAGCAGUAGGGAAUCUUCCGCAAUGGGCGAAAGCCUGACGGAUCAACGCCGCGUGAGUGAUGAAGGUCUUCGGAUCGUAAAACUCUGUUAUUAGGGAAGAACAUAUGUGUAAGUAACUGUGCACAUCUUGAUGGUACCUAAUCAGAAAGCCACGGCUAACUACGUG